GAGUUUGAUCCUGGCUCAGAUUGAACGCUGGCGGCAUGCCUUACACAUGCAAGUCGAACGGCAGCACGGGUGCUUGCACCUGGUGGCGAGUGGCGAACGGGUGAGUAAUACAUCGGAACAUGUCCUGUAGUGGGGGAUAGCCCGGCGAAAGCCGGAUUAAUACCGCAUACGAUCUACGGAUGAAAGCGGGGGACCUUCGGGCCUCGCGCUAUAGGGUUGGCCGAUGGCUGAUUAGCUAGUUGGUGGGGUAAAGGCCUACCAAGGCGACGAUCAGUAGCUGGUCUGAGAGGACGACCAGCCACACUGGGACUGAGACACGGCCCAGACUCCUACGGGAGGCAGCAGUGGGGAAUUUUGGACAAUGGGCGAAAGCCUGAUCCAGCAAUGCCGCGUGUGUGAAGAAGGCCUUCGGGUUGCAAAGCACUUUUGUCCGGAAAGAAAUCCUUGGCUCUAAUACAGUCGGGGGAUGACGGUACCGGAAGAAUAAGCACCGGCUAACUACGUGCCAGCAGCCGCGGUAAUACGUAGGGUGCGAGCGUUAAUCGGAAUUACUGGGCGUAAAGCGUGCGCAGGCGGUUUGCUAAGACCGAUGUGAAAUCCCCGGGCUCAACCUGGGAACUGCAUUGGUGACUGGCAGGCUAGAGUAUGGCAGAGGGGGGUAGAAUUCCACGUGUAGCAGUGAAAUGCGUAGAGAUGUGGAGGAAUACCGAUGGCGAAGGCAGCCCCCUGGGCCAAUACUGACGCUCAUGCACGAAAGCGUGGGGAGCAAACAGGAUUAGAUACCCUGGUAGUCCACGCCCUAAACGAUGUCAACUAGUUGUUGGGGAUUCAUUUCCUUAGUAACGUAGCUAACGCGUGAAGUUGACCGCCUGGGGAGUACGGUCGCAAGAUUAAAACUCAAAGGAAUUGACGGGGACCCGCACAAGCGGUGGAUGAUGUGGAUUAAUUCGAUGCAACGCGAAAAACCUUACCUACCCUUGACAUGGUCGGAAUCCUGCUGAGAGGCGGGAGUGCUCGAAAGAGAACCGGCGCACAGGUGCUGCAUGGCUGUCGUCAGCUCGUGCCGUGAGAUGUUGGGUUAAGUCCCGCAACGAGCGCAACCCUUGUCCUUAGUUGCUACGCAAGAGCACUCUAAGGAGACUGCCGGUGACAAACCGGAGGAAGGUGGGGAUGACGUCAAGUCCUCAUGGCCCUUAUGGGUAGGGCUUCACACGUCAUACAAUGGUCGGAACAGAGGGUUGCCAACCCGCGAGGGGGAGCUAAUCCCAGAAAACCGAUCGUAGUCCGGAUUGCACUCUGCAACUCGAGUGCAUGAAGCUGGAAUCGCUAGUAAUCGCGGAUCAGCAUGCCGCGGUGAAUACGUUCCCGGGUCUUGUACACACCGCCCGUCACACCAUGGGAGUGGGUUUUACCAGAAGUGGCUAGUCUAACCGCAAGGAGGACGGUCACCACGGUAGGAUUCAUGACUGGGGUGAAGUCGUAACAAGGUA
Molecule: ribosomal RNA, 1490 nt
Filed under: uncultured beta proteobacterium
Lineage: Bacteria; Pseudomonadati; Pseudomonadota; Betaproteobacteria
Description: 16S ribosomal RNA
Rfam family: Bacterial small subunit ribosomal RNA
Source: RNAcentral